Long non-coding RNA from Apodemus sylvaticus (European woodmouse), 4015 nucleotides. RefSeq lists it as uncharacterized. The record is from RefSeq and is a predicted model, not a curated record. NCBI's taxonomy places the organism in Eukaryota, Metazoa, Chordata, Mammalia, Rodentia, Muridae. The transcript has 2 exons.
AUGCCAAGCCCUAGUUCCAUCUUUCCAUGCCUGGCAUUUCACCCUCCAUCCUGAACAGUGACUGAAGUCCAUGGUGGGGGAAGAAGGCUGUGCUUAGUCUCCUGCCUUUGCAGUCCAGUGUGGAGCUGUACCUGACAUACCACCAGUAUAGCAUGAAUGGAAUGCUCUGCACAAGAAGCUCACUUCUCCUCCCUCUGAAACUUGAGAAGAAUUCAAGAAUAGUCACAAGUGAACAUAAAGCUCCUUCUCCUGUGCUUGGAAGACUGACGUGCAGCUGGAGAGGCAGUACAUGAAGAACGACCAUUUUCUCCUCGGGGCCCUGGCAUGAGCUGGUAUACAUGACUGACAGCUUCGCCCUGCCACAAUGGGAGAGGACGUCCUGCUCGUGCUAGUAAGCCCACAGAGGGGGCAGCCAGGGAGAGGGGACACAGCUGGAGGCUGGGGACACUGCAAAUGACAGGUAUCAUCAAGAAGGGUAGGUGGGGGUAGGCCUGAGUAAAUUUGGGUCCAUCUCAGCUAAUGGGGACCCCAUUCACUGGCGCACAUCUUUGGCUACUGAUGUUGUAAACCCUGGAUCCCUAGGCCUGGAACAUCCAAGAGGAGAUGCUGUAUACCCUUCAUGUCCUAGACCAUCUCUGGCAGAGAGGCGCAUACUUAUUCCAGGCGGCUCCUCUAGGAAAUGCAGCAGACUACCUAACCAGUGUCUACUGCUACUUUUGGGUACCGCCCCGCCCACACCACCUUGUUUGGAUUAUCUUUUGAUUUCUAUGUGGACCUGCUUUAUCUUUGGGAACUUACCCUAGUACUAAUGCAGUUGGUACUGGUUAUAAUGACUGGUUAUAUAUGACAAUGUUAUAAUAACAUUGGGUUAUGUUCCCAAUGAAGGAGAUGCCAUUGUUUAGACUGACUUGAAGAAUAAAAUCCCUAAGGCACAGAAAAGAGAUUGGAUGAUGGGAAGAGUCCUGUUCCCAUUCAGUUUGCUCAAACUGUUUGCACACAUCAAUCACCAGUGUAAUGAUGCUGAAAUCCUAGCACAGGGACUCCCCGAGAGUGGACAGGUAGGCAGAGAAACUACCCCCCCCCCCCAAAGCAUAAAGCGUCAACCUCUGCAGUGAUGGUGACAGUUGCGUACCAGGCUGCCAUAAGAGGCCUGCAUGUCAUAUGGUCCUAGUGGCCAGCAGCUAAAGAACCAGGAAGGUGCUCAAAUGCAGGUUUGAACCCUCGAACCCAUUGUCUUCUGCAUCCUGUCCUCAGCAGAGCCUGGGCACUAUGUAUUCCUGAAUACCACCAGGGUCACUACCAGGGGCAUAUAGAAAGGAAAUGGAACCCACAGGUGGAAGACAGGUGCUCUAUAGCAGAGGGGACACCCCAGAUUUUCCACGAGCUGGCAGACACAAACCAUAAGCUCCCCAUUAAGGCAUCCAGGCAAAGGCACUUCCUCACUCUGAUAAACACUGACCAUUGGACUCUAAGGCCCCCAGCAAGGAGCACUUACUCUCCAGUAUUUUUAAUUUUUGGUCCAGGACAAGUUAUGCUGUGUUCAUUUACACCACUGGGACUCUCAUCUAAAAGAAAAUGACACAAGAUUAUCAAUAUGGAUGUCCUUUUUCCACUGUCAGCCCUGGCUGAGAACUGACCCUGGUUGAGGACUGCCUUCUGCCCCCUGCCUCUUGUUUUUGUUAGAGGACACCUGCCCAGCACUGAACAGCUCUCAGCAGGCACCUGUAGGGAGGCCUCUUGCAUCCUAGGCUGCAUUUGUUAGGGGUGAGAGCCAAACUAGAAACACAGGACAUAAAAGUCAGAGUGCAGAGUGCUUUGAGCAGAGAGAGCAGUGGGCAUGUUGCAGGAGAGACAGGUGCUCAGGUGACUCGCCCCUUCUUUUAGAAGGAUGACGUCAUAUUUAAGGAAGCAGAAGUAUUUACACAUGAAAUGAUGCCUUGCCUGGAAUUUAAAGGUGCUCAGUGAUGAUAGUGGUAGGGAACUGGACUCGGUGGGUCGAGACUUACUGAGAGUAGGCCGUGGGUGCUUCAGGACCAGGCACACUUCUGGGUACUUGUGUUUGGUGUGCCAAAUCCACUGAAAUAGAUUCUGGGUGGGUUGCUGCUAUUUGGGCUAGGACUGGUCAGGGUGUGGUCUGAGGGUUGGGGCUCUGUGGGAAGUGAAGGAGGCACCUGGCGAGGUGCCAAGCUUGCCAAGGGAGUGAGUGAGCGAGGAAUUGUGGGUAGAAACUUGGGCUUCCCUGCCAGUGUUAUAGAUCUGUCAGGGGCUAGGAAGGCUCCAGGUCCAACUUGGACCUGAAGGCAUCACAACCUGCUGGUGGGCUGGGUACAGGGGCAGGAUGAAAGUAAUGGUAUCCAAGGUUAGACCCAGGAAGUGGGUGGGCGGAUGCUUGUUUACAGAACAGGAAAAGCCAUGAAAGGGAAGAGAGUUUUUCUUUCCCUGCAUUGGUGGGAGCCUGAGAAGUAUUUUGUGACUGUGACUGAAGACUACUCCCACUCUUUGACAGACAGUAUCAUCCUGGUCCACUGAGCUGGGGCAAAUGCCAAGCGCCAAGCUGGAUACCCACUGGCUUGGCUUCCAACUUCCCAAUCCCUGGUCUCUCUGUGAUGUAAUUCUGGCCUUCCCAGAAAGGGUUUUCUAGGCAUCUUCUAGACUUAGUCUGGGGAUGCUGCUCUGUAGACUCUAGGUCCUGGUAUUCAGCUCUCAAGAAGACAGGCUAAAUGGAUGCUGCACGGGUCAGGCCAGCAUCGUGCCAGCCUCUAGAAGCCCUUGGGAACUGAAGGGUUUAUUCUUCCCCCAUGCUUGUAUAAAGGGAGAAUGGCUAGGCCGGCUGCUUAGUCCUUUUUCUUGGCCUAUGCUGCCUUUAGCUCCCCAUACCUGUGGAACAUGGUCAGCAAAGGCAGGAGGCUUGGCUGACUUAGGGAAAUGGUCCCGUGUGGUAAUAGUGCACCCCAGAGGUACCAAGGGGCUACUUACCAACGACUCUGGCGUCAUUGAACGUGAAUCUGCAAAUAACUUGCUUUACGUCGUUAACAUUUACUUGGUAGGCGUCUGCAAGAACAACAUAGACUCGUUGGGGCAAGGAAGAGCAGGGAGCAGGGUUCUCCCUAGUCUCACCUUUCACAGAAGGCUGCCCUGAAGAUGGAAUUCUCAGGUGCCUUUACGAAACAGCCCCAGUGUCUGAACCAUCACCCAUGGGACUUGUAGAGGAGGCAAAUCCGCAUCUGCUGUCACUGCACUUCUGUGCUAAUGUAGCCGGAGGGGGCUUGCAUAGCCUUACUGUGAUCCCUGACCCAACAAGUCCAAACUCCACAAGAGAGUCCCAGCCUGUUCCAAGCUAGACCAGCUCAGCUGAAACCUUCCUGCUCUGAGAUCUCAUGCACUCCUUAAUCAACACGGGCACGGUAGCACAGCUAGGGCCUCCUUUGCACAAGGGAGGGGCUAGUUCCCUACCUGUGGUACCAUUGAGAAUGAAGAAUAUCAUUUUCCCCCUGUGAUCUAUGGUGUGGAAAUACAGACCUCAGGAGCUGGGACUGGGACAGAGAGAACAGGUCCAGUCCCUGGCACCUUAGAGAGUCCCUCCCAGGAGCUGGACAGUCUCAGACACAGGGCCAGAGGCCAGCACCUUCUUCUUCAUUCUCAUCUUCCCCAUCACUCUGGGGAUUAGCAAGGUCUUCUAACAUCAGAGGAGCAGUUCCCUGACGCUGACACCAAUAUAGAAAGGACACAGAGAGGACAGCUGACAGGAGGUUCUGCAGGCAGGACUCCUCCACCCUGUCCUCAUUUGCUUUCACGGCUACUUAGGGGCCUGGGUCUCAUUCAUUACUGUCCCCCAUGCAUUUCAGUGCCUUAGGGUAGUUGAUUAAGGACUCUCUUUACAAGGUUCCUCCCCAGACUCCAUAGCACACAGGUUGACUUUGGUGCGAUUUCAAGCCAACAGCUAAUUCUGCUUCAUUUGGAGGUACAGGAAGCCUUAGGAUUCCCCGGAAGUGACAGGUCUCCUCCUCCUCCUCAU